RNAcentral lists this ribosomal RNA (253 nucleotides) under uncultured bacterium. RNAcentral describes it as "partial 16S ribosomal RNA". It matches the Rfam family "Bacterial small subunit ribosomal RNA", at positions 524 to 776 of the family's 1533-position model. The record is from RNAcentral.
UACGGGGGGGGCAAGCGUUGUUCGGAAUUACUGGGCGUGAAGGGCUCGUAGGCGGCCAACUAAGUCAGACGUGAAAUCCCUCGGCUUAACCGGGGAACUGCAUCUGAUACUGGAUGGCUUGAGUUCGGGAGAGGGAUGUGGAAUUCCAGGUGUAGCGGUGAAAUGCGUAGAUAUCUGGAGGAACACCGGUGGCGAAGGCGGCAUCCUGGACCGACACUGACGCUGAGGAGCGAAAGCCAGGGGAGCAAACGGG